Molecule: ribosomal RNA, 500 nt
Filed under: uncultured bacterium
Lineage: Bacteria
Description: partial 16S ribosomal RNA
Rfam family: Bacterial small subunit ribosomal RNA
Source: RNAcentral
AUUGAACGCUGGCGGCAUGCCUUACACAUGCAAGUCGAACGGCAGCACGGGAGCAAUCCUGGUGGCGAGUGGCGAACGGGUGAGUAAUAUAUCGGAACGUGCCCAGUCGUGGGGGAUAACGCAGCGAAAGCUGUGCUAAUACCGCAUACGAUCGAAGGAUGAAAGCGGGGGAUCGCAAGACCUCGCGCGAUUGGAGCGGCCGAUAUCAGAUUAGCUAGUUGGUGGGGUAAAGGCCCACCAAGGCGACGAUCUGUAGCUGGUCUGAGAGGACGACCAGCCACACUGGAACUGAGACACGGUCCAGACUCCUACGGGAGGCAGCAGUGGGGAAUUUUGGACAAUGGGCGCAAGCCUGAUCCAGCAAUGCCGCGUGCAGGAUGAAGGCCUUCGGGUUGUAAACUGCUUUUGUACGGAACGAAACGGCCCUUUCUAAUACAGGGGGCUAAUGACGGUACCGUAAGAAAAAGCACCGGCUAACUACGUGCCAGCAGCCGCCGUAA